This 80-nucleotide transfer RNA is filed under the name Ovis aries (sheep). It matches the Rfam family "tRNA". From Rfam's summary of the family: Transfer RNA (tRNA) molecules are approximately 80 nucleotides in length. Their secondary structure includes four short double-helical elements and three loops (D, anti-codon, and T loops). Further hydrogen bonds mediate the characteristic L-shaped molecular structure. tRNAs have two regions of fundamental functional importance: the anti-codon, which is responsible for specific mRNA codon recognition, and the 3' end, to which the tRNAs corresponding amino acid is attached (by aminoacyl-tRNA synthetases). tRNAs cope with the degeneracy of the genetic code in two manners: having more than one tRNA (with a specific anti-codon) for a particular amino acid; and 'wobble' base-pairing, i.e. permitting non-standard base-pairing at the 3rd anti-codon position. The record is from Rfam by way of RNAcentral. Lineage: Eukaryota; Metazoa; Chordata; Mammalia; Artiodactyla; Bovidae.
UCCCUGGUGGCUCAGCAGUAAAGCAUCUGCCUGCAGUGCAGGAGCUGCAGGAGACUUGGGUUUGAUCCCUGGCCUGGGAA